Molecule: long non-coding RNA, 519 nt
Organism: Lactuca sativa (garden lettuce)
Lineage: Eukaryota; Viridiplantae; Streptophyta; Magnoliopsida; Asterales; Asteraceae
Source: RefSeq, a predicted model, not a curated record
UUAACACUAUCUUGUUCUAAGGCAUCAAAUGUGUUGAGCACAAUAGCGGCCCCUCGAGGGAGAUUCUCUGCCUCGGUCAUAAGAUAGGUGAACAAGAUGUCAUUUAUGUCUGUGGUUUGAAUGAAGCUCGGGAUGUUAAUCGGGUCAACCCGAUCAGGUUUCAAGUUAAACGGGUCGGGUUAGUCGGGUAUUUUAUAAAAAUAAUUUCACCCGGAAUCCGACCCUAUUAAGGUACGGGUUAUCCGGGUUCGGGUUAUUCGGGUUUCGGGUUUAUAGGGUCGAGUUAGUCGGGUUACAAUGUAAGACAUAAAUAUUGUGCCAUAUUUAUAAUAAGGUUUAUUUUUCAGAAGGUUAAAUUAGGAUGUGUUAAAUCCAAAUAACUUUGAGUGCAUAUGGUUUAUUUUUCUUGUUUGUACUUGUAAAAAGCUUUAUGCAUUUGAUUUGAGGCUGUGUAUUUUUUAUUUUAGGCCACCUAAACUACUAUUGCAUAUUAUUUUACUAUUGCAUAUUAUUUUACCA